AUUGUGGGGAGAAGGAGGCAGAAGUGCCUUGAUGCACACCAUGAUCCUUGUCCAAAAGCUUAUGUUUUUUUUUUUGAAAUGACGAUUUUCCUAAAUAAUAAGGUCAAACAUGGAACAGACGAAAAAAAUCUGUUUGUCUUAUUGAUUUUAAAUCAUUUUAAUCCCUUUUUUGAUUUCUAGUAUAUCUUCUUGACGUGGCGUGUGGUGUAUUUUGUGGACCCAGAAGCAGUCUCACCACAGUACCCCCUCUCAACGAACGCCUCUUGGCGUUUUUCUGGGUUUGUUGGGGUGAGUGGCGUAGAAGUCUUCGAGGAGUUGAUGGUCCAGGAUGAGGUAGCGGGAGAUCCAGGACCGCUCCCCUGGACCGUAUCCCUAUCUAUGAGGUAUUGGAAGCCUUGUUCCCGAGGCCACACGUCCAGGAUUCGUCCCACAGUGAAGGCAGGGUGGUUGUCAAUCAUCCGGGGGGGAAGAGGGGCGAUGGAAGGAGGGCUCAGGGUGCACGAGGUGACAGGCUUAAUCAGGGAGACAUGAAACGUGGGGUGAAUUUUGAGGGAUGAGGGAAGUUUCAGUCUUACAACCAAGGGGUUAAUAAUCUUCUGGAUAGGGAAGGGACCAAUGAAGCGGGGAGACAGCUUGCACGACUCAGUCUGCAGGGGAAGGUCAUGGGACGAUAGCCAGACCAUCUGACCGGGACGAUAGUCUGGUGCAGGGGAGCAGUGGACGUCAGCCAGGCGUUUGUUGCACUCGGCCGUGCGAGUGAGUGCGGUCCUGGGGGAUUUACACACCUCCCGUAGACGCCUAAUGUGCUCCCUCACCGAUGAGAAGGGCCACCGGGUGCUCCUGUUCGGGAAACAGGGGGGGCUGGUACCCAAAACAGCACAUGAAGGGAGACAUACCUGUGGCCGAGGAGGUGAGUGAGUUAUGGGCAUACUGGAUCCAUGGGAGGUGUGUACUCCAGGACGCUGGAUGAUGGGCCACAACACACCGCAAAGCCGACUCAAGGUUCUGAUUGGUCUGCUCUGUCUGGCCGUUGGUCUGCGGGUGAUAACCCGAGGAGAGGCUGCCUGCCGUGCACAAUGCCUGGCACAAAGCUUUCCAGACCUAGGGAGAACUGGGGACCACGAUCUGAUAUGAUGUCAAUAGGGAUACCAUGAAGUUAAAAAACAUGAGAUACUAGGAGGUUAGCAGUUUCUAGCGCGGAGGGGAGCUUGGGUAAAGGGACGUAAUGCACGAACUUGGAAAAUCUGUCUAUGAUGGUGAGAACAACAGUGUUACCUUCAGAAGGAGGGAGACCAGUGACGAAAUCUAAAGCUAUGUGAGACCAAGGGCAUGAGGGCACAGGCAGAGGAUGCAGCAAGCCAGCCAGAGGUUGGUGGGAGACUUUGCCACAGGCACAGACGGAGCAGGCAGCAACAAAAGCCCUUACGUCCCGGACCAUCCCCGGCCACCAGAACCGCUGCUGAAGGAAUUGGAGGGUGCGUUGAAAUCUGGGGUGACAGGUGAGUUUAGAGGAGUGCCCCCACUGUAGGACGUGGGAACGUGCAACCUCUGGGACAAACUUUCUAUCAGGAGGGCCAGUUCCAGGGUCUGGGUGCUUCAGGAGGGCCUUGUCCACCACGGUGUCGAGCUCCCAAGAGGCGGAGCCGAUGAUACAGGAGGCGGGGAAGAUGGUGUCCGGUUCUCUGGGGUCCGAGGUAGCAGAGGAGUAGAUCCGGGAUGGGGCGUCAGGUUUGAUGUUACAGGAGCCGGGACGAUAGGAGAGGGUGAAGGUAAAUCUGCUGAGGAAGAGGGACCAGCAGGCUUGCCUGGAGUUGAGGCGUCGAGUGGAACAGAGGUACUGAAGGUUCUUAUGGUUAGUCCAGAUGAGGAAUGGGUGUUGUGCUCCUUCCAGCCAGUGUCUCCAUUCUUGAAGUGCCCACACAACAGCCAGCAACUAGGGGGAGUGCUCUGAAAGACAGUCAAGCCAGACCAGGGACACAAAGAAAACAGGAAGUUCUACCAAAAUAAAACCGGAGAUGGAGGCUACUCACAAUACUUGCAUCUGUAAAGCACUUUGAAUUGUCUUGUGUAUGAAUUGUGCAAUAUAAAUAAACUUGCCUUGCCGUUUAUGCAGUUCCUCAAUAGGAUAUGUACAACUCCAUGGCUUCAAACACGCUGCUCUCACAAACUCUCCAUGGUGACGGCUGAUAGCGCACGGAAAAUCCUCCUUUUAAGAGUGCGGUCCACAUCGCUUUUGCACCCAUUAUCAAUUGCGCAUGCAAUGAUAGUAGAUCACCUGCAACACACCCACUAAUAGCACAUGCAAUUUUUUGGUUUGCACACGCAAUUUAGCGCUCGCUAUUUGGGAUCUAAGGGUAUGUUCACACUGCAGGUCAAUUCUGAUUUUUUAACCAUAUAUGACACACAUUUGAUUUUUUCAUCUGAACAGUGCAAUUUGGAUUUUUUCAAAUCCGACCCAGGCCUCUUUUGUAUGUGGAUAUAAAUUGGAUAUGUAUCCAAUGUGACUGCAGUGUGGACCCUCAGGCGCAUUCAUCCGACCUCAUCAAUAUGCGACAAACGUCGACAUUGUUCGACAACGCAAACGGAAAGCAAUUUGUGCUUUGUGCGCAUGCGAGUCACUUCACGGAUGCAUUCCGUUUACAUUAGAUGCGGCAUUUGUUGUUGUAAUGUGAACGACUGCACAAAAAGAUCCAGUUUAACAAAAAAUCCGAAUUGUGCAUCAUAACCUGCAUUGUGAACCUUAGCGCCUUAGCGGAUCAGGCCCUUAGAGCAGUUUUAAAAAGAUUUUGAAUUGAUUGAAUGUUUUAUAACAAUCACAAUCUUAAUAUCAGUCAUAAUAAUUGUGAGUCUCUCAGCGUGAUGAUCUGAUGCGACCAUAAAAAACACGAGCAGUGAUAAUGCACUCAACAAAACACUUUAAGUGGUGCCUUAUGGCGUGCAUGCACAUGAUUACGCUCAUCUGCAGUGUGCAUAUGCCCUAGGACAUCAUCAUGCAUUCUCCUGCUAAAUGCAUGCAGAUUUCAGGGCCUACAUCCAGUUCUCAUAUGAAAGAACUCUGUGUCAGUCCUGAGAAAAGGAUCCCUCCUCUGGAUAACAUGUUUAAAAAUAGAGUAAAAUGACAGCAGAGAGAAAGUGGCAGAGAGAUUAUUAUAGAAUGCAUGCAGGAUUUGAAAGCAGGCAUAAAAAGUGAUUGUCUUCUCUCAAAAGUGCUCAUAAAUUCGCCUCAGCUCAUGUGAGUGUUAUGUAGAGUUUCAGGCAGAUGGUUCAGCAUAUUGCACACUCACCUAUCAAAGUACAGAAGGUGUUAUCUUGACAUUUAUGCACAAAACAGACGAGGCACAAGGAGGCGAAGGUGUUGGACACAGACAGAAACAGGACAGGCACAUUUCCAUGUUUCUGUCUGCUCACUUUCAGGCCUUUUUAAGUCAUCCCUGUGUUUCUGCAGAGUUAUGUGUGCAUACCAUUGUAGUGACUUCUCUUUGGCAGGAGGCAGAACAUUCCAGGGAAACGGCUGACCCUGAAAAACACACACACACACACACACACACACACACACACACACACACACACACACACACACACACACACACACAGGAUAGCAGCCUCCACCCUUUUUCGUUACCCAAGAAUACCAAAACGGCUGUUUCCUAACAGACACAUGACAUUACACUGUGGAGAAACACACACACUCAUACAAUAUAGAAUAUGCAGCUGAGAUAGCAUCGCACAUGACCGUCAUCACAAGAACUCAUGACAGUGUUCACUCCCUCAACUGCUCCAUGACUCCAUUGUCUUCUCACUCCGUACUAAAUUCUGAUUUUUACCCUGCAGCCUGAUUGACCUCCUCCCUCACUGGUGGACAUCACUUUGAUCCAAGGACCGAGAUAUUUCUGUUCACUUUUGCACCAUUAAUCAAAAAUAAAAUCAUUAAGAGAAAAGCAGGUUAUCUAAAGUAUAAAGUUAAAAAAUCAGAUACCAAAUAAUACAAUACUACACACAGAAUACAGUAUAACACUGCAGCAACGAGACAGUAGGAACCAAUAUCACGAUACGAUACAAUUCGAUAUGGAACGAUAUGAUACAAAAUGUUACGAUAUGAUAUGAUAUGAUACGAUAUAAUACGAUAUGAUAUGAUAUGAAACAGUACGAUAUGAUACAAUAUGUUAUGAUAUGAUAUAAUACAAUACGAUACAACACAUUAUUGUACGAUACAAUAUGAUAUGAAAUGAUAUGAUAUGGUUAGAUACAAUAUGAUACUAUAUGAUAAGGUACAUUAUGAAAUAAUAUGAUACCCUACAAUACAAUACGAUAUGACACAAUAUGAUAUGACACGACACAAUUUGAUAUGAUAUGGUACAAUAAGAUAGGAUACGGUACGAUACAUGUCAAUAUGAUACGAUACAAUACAGUAUGAUUUAAGAGGAUAUAAUACCCUAUGAAACGAUAUGAUACAACACGAUAUGAUACAGUACAAAAUGAUAUGGUAUGAUACAAUAUGAUUUGGUAUGGUACGGUACAAUACAAUACGAUACAUUACAAUAUGGUACGAUACAAUAUGAUAAUAUGGUAUGAUAUGAUACAAUACAAUACAAUGUGAUAUGAUACGGUUCAAUAUGAUACGAUAUGAUACGGUAUGAUGUGACAUGAUAUGAUAUGAUAUGAUAUGAUAUGAUAUGAUAUGAUAUGAUACAAUACGAUACGAUACAACAUGAUAUGAUAUGGUACGAUACGAUAUGGUACGGUACAAUAUGAUAGGAUAAGGUACAAUACGGUAGGUACAAUACGAUACGAUAUGAUACAUUACAACAUGAUAUGAUAUGAUAUGAUACAAUACGACAUGAUAUGAUAUGAUAAGAAAUGGUACAAUACAAUACGAUAAGAUACGAUAUCUGAGGAUAUGAUUAAGUAUAAAAUAGCUCACUUCCUUCGUUGGACCCUUUACAACAACAUAUGUUUUGAUUAGAAAAACUUUAAAUAACUUUUUUGUCUUUGACUGGAUUAUUUUUUUUGUUUGUUUUCAUUUGUGAAAAUUACAGAAAAUUCUUGUGUUUUAGUUUUUCUGUGUUAAAUAUGCAAAGACAAACUAUUUAAAUGAAACAAUAAAAAAUAAAUGUCUUAGCCUGAUAUUUCACAAAUGGGGCAAAGCACAGAUGGUAAAAUUGCAUCAAAUACAUAACAAGACAACAAAUAAAAUUAAAACAACAUUUUUACGCUCCUCUGGAUAUAUGAAGCAUAACAAGGUGCAUAAAGAAGUAAAAAAAUAUGUGCAGGUUAUAUAAAAAAUACCCUUGAACAAAUACAUUUCCUUCAUACUCAGCUGAAAUAAUAUGAAGAGAAAAAAGUCUCGACUUGAAUUUGAGCAUCUAAAAUCCUCCAGUGCCAAACUCACAGAACAUUUUAACUGAUAUUCAAAACAUAUUAAUUUUCUGUUGUGGUUAUUCAUAUCAAGACGAUUUCUGUCUCUUCAACUUUCUUCUUUUGAUACGACUGUGUGGUUGUUUUCUUACUUAAUGUCAGCAGUCUGUGUUCAUGAACAUAAACUCUGAUCAUCCCUCGGUCCUCUGACCUGUUUUUAUCUCUCAUGUUACUCCUACGACCAUCUGCUGCCACCAACUCUGCCUCUGAUCUCUGCAGAAGCUACAGAGAAAAGUGUAAAUGAGAGCGAUUAGACUUCAUAUACACUACAGGCCAAAAGUUUGGAAGCAAGGCCAUUACAGGCAGAACAGUUGGGAGUAACUUCAAGUUUUUGUUCACAAUGCUUUUUUUUUAAAUCCAGCACAAGUUGUUUGUAUUUUGGGAUGUAUUUACUCCAUGAUCAGAUGUUGCUUUCAUGGAAAUGCACCAUUUUACUCCAUUUACCUUUAGAUAUACAUUGAUGUUAACAGACCAUUGCUAAAUACAUGUCAGCAAAAGAUAAUAAGGGCUUAGUUUUAGGGUUGAAAACAUUUGCAGGCAUCACAACUUCAGUGCAAAAGCAAAAAAACAAAUCACAGUUGGAUUAUUCACUUCAACUUUUUGGCUUUUGAGAGUCUGCAUACAAAAUCCUAAUAAAUCUCAACUGCGUUCAAACUACCGCAAAAAAUGGCUAGAAAGAAGCAACUGAGUAAAGAAACAAAAGUACAGAUUUGUACAUUGAGGAAAGAAGGAUACACAGAAAGAGAAAUUGCAAAACGCCUAAAGAUGUUUAACAAAGGAGUCUACUACACUCUGAAGAGACUAGAGGAACCUGGAAGUUAUGAUGCUAGAAAAAUACCUGGACGAAAGAGAGUUACUACAAAAGCAGAGGAUAAACAUAUCAUUGUCACCAGUAAGAGAGAUUGGCGAAAAACAGCCCCACAAAUAAGGGAGGAAAUCAACAUGACAAGGUCGAAACCCAUAUCUCUGACAACCGUGAACUGAUGUUUGAGAAAGGCUGGUCUGAAGGGUUGUGUAUCUGCAAAAAAACACUACUUCGUCCACAGAACAAGAAAAAGAAAUACGAGUGUGCAAAAGCUCACAAAAAUUGUGAUGACUAGAAACAAGUUUGUACUGUUUGGUUCAAAACGCAGAGUCUAUGUCCGCAGACAAACUGGUGAACGUCUGAAAGCACCAUGUGUUACACCCACAAUUCAGCAUGGAGGUGGUAGUUCCAUGGUAUGGGGAUGUUUUGCAGGUGAUGGAGUCGGGGCUUUGUUUGAAGUCAAGGGUAUCAUGAAGAAGGAACAGUACCACUCCAUCCUCCAGCACCAUGCUUUUCCAUCUGGACUCAGACUUGUGGCUCAUAAGUUUGUUUUGCAGAAAGACAAUGACCCUAAGCACUCUGCCAAGCUCUGUCAGGGUUACCUAGACAAAAAAAGAAGAGGAAGGUGUUCUUCAAAAGAUGGUUUGGCCCCCUCAGUCACCAGACCUCUCUCCAACUGAGCUUGUGUGAGAUGAAUUGGAUCGAUCGGCCAGAAAAAUGCGUCCCACGAAUCAGCAGUCUCUUUUUAAUGAACUUUAAGAAAGCUUGGAACGCAAUCCCUGGAACAUACCUUAAAAAACUUGUGGAACGAAUGCCUUGUAUUUGCCAAGCUGUUGUUAAAGCCAGAGGA
Molecule: long non-coding RNA, 7070 nt
Filed under: Xyrichtys novacula (pearly razorfish)
Lineage: Eukaryota; Metazoa; Chordata; Actinopteri; Labriformes; Labridae
Source: RNAcentral